This is a long non-coding RNA of Myotis brandtii (Brandt's bat), 783 nucleotides long. RefSeq lists it as uncharacterized. NCBI's taxonomy places the organism in Eukaryota, Metazoa, Chordata, Mammalia, Chiroptera, Vespertilionidae. The transcript is spliced from 3 exons. The record is from RefSeq and is a predicted model, not a curated record.
CCCGAGGAUAAGUGGACCUGUGCAAUCCAAAUCCAUGUUGUUUAGGAUCAACUAUACAACAAGACACAGCUUCCAGGAAAGUCUGUGCCAGACAGAGAGCCCACUGCUCUGGCCUGAGUCAUGGCAACCGAGGCUCUGCUGCCCAUCCUGCUUGUCUGUGUUGUGCUGCUGCAGGCCCAGGGAGGAUUACAUAAAAAUAACAAAAUAGAGAGUACACCGCCAACCAAAAAAAUCGAGGAAUGUGAGAAGAGAGUCAGAAUACAUGCGUGUAGACGCCCCUGUACACGAGACGGAGAUUGUCAAGCAAAUAACAUAUGCUGUUUAAGCUUCUGUGGGAGAAUUUGCAUAAACACUCUUGUCUGAGUGGGAGAGGGGGCUGGACUAUACAUACUGCUCCCCCAACCCUCCAUUUAACACUAAAGAACAAAGACCUCAAAUCUCAGGCACAUGACUGUCAAUAGCAAUGCCACCCUCCUCACUGUCUGUAUGGCUUGUUUCUGACAAAUAAACCAGAGCAAAUGCCCUAGGACCUGCCUAUUUUAUUCCUAGUGCUUGUGAUCAUUGAGAACCCAGUGCAGACCCCUGCAUGCCCCCAUCUCUCUUGGUCCUGGUCCCUGAUCCCUCUCCCCUUGUCAUGCUUCUCUACUCUCUCUCCCUUUGGCCCACGCACUCCUGCCAGGCCCCCGGAGGCCCAGCCCUCUCGUUGCUCUGCUCACUGAACCAGUACUCCCAGGGGGAGAAACUGCUCAUGGGUGGCAUCCCCCAGUGCUAAAGAGAACAUCC